Molecule: non-coding RNA, 3536 nt
Organism: Xyrichtys novacula (pearly razorfish)
Lineage: Eukaryota; Metazoa; Chordata; Actinopteri; Labriformes; Labridae
Source: the annotation of a GenBank genome assembly
GUUUAGACAUAUGUGUCUUUCCUUUAAAGAUUAGAGCGUAUAUCACUGUGCAAGAUUCCUGCAUCUAAAGUAACAAGCAAAGGGGUUUAAUGGAACUGCACUUUGCAAUAAAAAGACACAGCCUCUUGUGAGUGAUGAUAUUUCAUCAAGUGGGACCAGGUGCAGGAUGUAUUAGUCAUAAAGAAACAAAAUUACAAUCUUUUUGCCUUCCAGCCAUCCUGUUUUUAAUACUCACUGCUCUCUUUGACCUAGGUGUGAGGCAAUUUUACUUCUACAGAAAGUAAAGUUGAAUUAGAAGUUUUUGGGAAGGAGUUGUGGGUGAAAGCUGGAGGUGAAACCAUCAGCUGUAUGAAACAUUGAUGAUGACUUGGUAAUGGAGUUCCGUUUUGAAGACUAAUUGCCAUAUUGGAAAUAUGACUCAACUUCACUUUCCAUCAACCUGAAUGAAGCAGAGGUAGAGUUGAGGUGGACCUUUAGCCACCCUGUGCUUGCUUGUCAGUCUAGCCCCCACACAUCUGCUUUUCUGCAUCAGCUUCACCUCGGCCAUUUGGGGAAAACACAUCUUUCCAGUGAGGGUUAGCAAAGAGGAAUGCAGCUAGUUGGCUUUAAGUGGCAAAGAAUGGAUAUCACUGACUUGAGAUGGAUGGGACUCAAGCAGUUGAAGAUACAUGAAUGGGGGGUGCCACUGGGAAGAAUGCAAGACGGUAGGAGAGGAUUGGGGUCCCUGGUCUUCAGUGAGGUAAUAAGGAGGUCAGUAGUUGACACCAGUUGAAGGUGAAUGGUGGGGGAUCAAUGGAGGUCAAUUGCCAUGAUUAUCAGUAGCAAGUGCCACAGGCAGAUGGAGGUCAGUGGCUCGGAAUCAAUGCAAUUAGGUAACAAGAAUUGGCUCGAGCAAUGAGAGGAAGUAGGACUAGAUGGGAGUCUGUAGCUGUAAAUUGAUUGGCUUCAACUGUUGCUAUGAAAUAUCAUGCUUUUCUCAUGUUGAUACCAAGCAACUUUCAGCCUUGAGAACUGAACCUGAUGCAGAGGUGCUAAAAACAGCAGUUCUCCAAGAGUCCACAUGGGGCCAGCUCCAAAAGUCUCUGAAGCCACAUACACACCCAUUCGAAGCAGAUCAUCUUUAUGGCAAAAACAUACAUGUUGACAGCCUGGUUCAAAAUGACUCUUCUGAUUCAGUAGACUGUAGCUGUUAGCAAAGAAGCUAAAGGGCCGCCUCACCUCCGUCUCUUUACCUCUUACCACCUCUACAGUCUACGGUUGUCACACAAAGUUACUUAACGUGUCUGUUAAAGGGUCAUGAGAGCUCUGGCUGUGCAAUGGGGCUGUAGUUAGUGUGAUAUCUUCUCACGAGACUCAGGGUCUCCGGUGACACCCCUGUUUGUGUAAGUCGUCAAUGACCAGGGCUUGGUUGCUGAAAACUUGUGAUGGUCAAUAGCUUAGGAUGGAUGACAGACAGUAAGAAGGAAAUCAUGAAGGUCAGUGGCAAGGGCUUCUUGAAGAUCAUGGGUAAUGAGAGGAUGAAGUCAGUAAAGGAAUAUAAGUCGAGGUCAGUUGUUUGAAAUUACAGGUCAGUGACCAGGACUGAGAAAUGAAUGUAAAUCAGGAUUGCCGAGUCCCUGGAGGCUAAGAAAAAGACAAAGGGGUUUGGUAUGAAUGGAUAAAAGUCAAGAGACAGGAAAAGAUUGAGUUCAGAAGCAAGUGAUAGAUGGUGGGAAUGAGUGAUGGGUGUGAAUGGAGCUCGGAAGGUCAGUGUCUUUAAUUCAGGGGUGCUCAGUGAUGGGAAAUCAAUAAAGGAAUGGAUGGAGGCUGGUUGUCUUUGGUAACCAGGAAUGGAUAAGUGUUGGUGGUGAUAAGUUUGGAAAAAGCGGCUGGUGGCUAAGAACUCAUGGAGAUAACAGGCUAAAGUGGACGGAGGUGGAAAUCAUCAGGGUAUGCGCACACAUGAAUGGGGCUAAGUCCUUUUAGAUAGAGGAAGUAAAUGGCCCAGAAUAGAUGGAGGUGUGUAGAUGGAAAUGGGUGGAGGUCAGUAGCAAAAGAGAUGGAAGUCAGUAGUUAUGUAUAGACAGAGGUCGGUGGCUAGGAAUGGAGGCAGCCAUGAAUCAGUGGUGCUUGUCAUUCAAUCAAUGGAGAAUCGUGGGUAAGAGUCUAUGAAGGAGAGCUGCAAGGAAUGGAUGGAGGUCAGUGGCUAAAAUUACAGAGUCUAGAGGCUAAAAACAGAUGAAGGUUGGUGGCUUUACUGACAAUGAUCAUAGAGAUGCUACAUUUAAAAGGUCAUUGCUGGGAAAGUUUCAGAUGAUAGGUUGUACUUGAGGAAAGAUGGAUUAGGACUGCAGUUAGUUAUUAUCACACAUACACAGCUGCUUCAGGAACAAAGAGGCUGAGGCACAGACUUUUGUGUGAUAUAAAUUUGCUCUGGGACUAGCCUAUUUUUAGUGUAUAGCCUAAUUUAGGAUUAAUGAGGCCAGUUUUCAGGGUUUGGUUGUCCCAGCGGGUCUGCUCCUUAGUGCUGUAGAAAAGUCUUUGUUAGGGACUCUGGUUGGCCAGUGAGUGGAUUAGGUCCUUUGAAGCUGUAAUUAUGUGGCAUUACUAUUAUGGUAUCUCAGUCAACUAACCUCCAAUCAUUGAAGAAGAAAAAAGAGGGGUCACAUAAUCUUUCAGGAAAACCCUUUGUAUGUAACUGACAUGCAGUUGUAGUUAAAAUGUUAUAUGUUGACCCACCAGGCGUUCCCAAGCAUAUAAUACAUCUAAAAUACCACUGCAGGUUCCAACUUUUGCAGCUAUUAAUGAUUUUCAGGAUUUUUAUGUUCAUUGAUUUUAUAUUCAUGUUUUUUUAACUGUUUGACAGUAUUUUUUUUUUGGAUAUGAUUAAAAGUUGGUGAGUUGUAAAAUUAAAUUGAACCAAAUCUGCUGAAGAAAUUGUCUCCUUUAUCUUUUCAGAAAUAAAUGUCUUUCAGUCUAGGAUCACAGCAGUGUUGUUUCCCAGAAUGCACCUUCCACCACUGCAGAACAUCUUGGACCCAUCCAUUCCUUUGCAUUGAGAUUGCAUACAGUUCACAUCCCUGUAUUUUGAAUUGGACCUUCUCUCCUGAUGAGAUGCAAAAAUCACUGCCAUCUUUUCAUUUAUAUGGCUCUUUUGGGAAAAUUACCCUCUUAUCUGACUGAACUUCUUAAUUUGUUGGAUGGGUUUUAUCAGGCACGCUCCUGAAGCUGCUUUUAAAUGCCCUUUUUAUCCUGAACCUGACUCAUACAUCAGCUCCUUAAAAUCAAUGAACUUUUAGUUUCUGCACAAUUUGAAAAACUGUAAUUUAAAUCUCUCAACCCCGGUGAUUAUUUGCUCAAGUGUAUCUUUUUGUCACCAUUUUAAUUAUUCACCAGUCUGAUUGAUUUUAGCUCAUUUUGAAUAAGUAAAUCCUUAGUGAGUUUAAUGGCCUUGUAUCGAUCCUUAUUCUUGUUCUUAUAAUUGCUUAUGUUGCUGACUUCAUAUCACUGUAUCAUUGUUCCUCAAUGAUUACUAUAAAUAAAGGAUGACUGAUCCA